AAUUAUUAAUGUUUAAAUAAAUAUACUUAACAAUAUAAUAUUACUAAAUCAUUCUCUCACAACUUUAACAUUUAGCAAAAUAUAUAAUAAUUCCUACGUUUCACAUUACAUUAACUAACACACACUAUAUAUAUAUAUAUAUAUAUAUUACUCAUCAGAUCGAUCAGACACACAAAAAUUAGAAACAUACGAAACAAGACUUAGGAUCUAAAACUACAAUUAGAUAAUUUUGC
RNAcentral lists this long non-coding RNA (233 nucleotides) under Ananas comosus (pineapple). Its description in RNAcentral is "long non-coding RNA (ACOM_LNC032178)". The record is from RNAcentral. Lineage: Eukaryota; Viridiplantae; Streptophyta; Magnoliopsida; Poales; Bromeliaceae.